RNAcentral lists this transfer RNA (65 nucleotides) under Cheiracanthium brevispinum. Its description in RNAcentral is "tRNA-Glu". The record is from RNAcentral. Lineage: Eukaryota; Metazoa; Arthropoda; Arachnida; Araneae; Cheiracanthiidae.
AUUAAUAUAGUGUAUUAUCACAUCAUUAUUUCAUGAUGAAAAUGUAGUUUUUUUUAUCUUCAAUA